This 466-nucleotide ribosomal RNA is filed under the name uncultured bacterium. Its description in RNAcentral is "partial 16S ribosomal RNA". It matches the Rfam family "Bacterial small subunit ribosomal RNA", at positions 28 to 507 of the family's 1533-position model. The record is from RNAcentral.
GAUGAACACUGGCGGCGUGCUUAACACAUGCAAGUCGAACGAUGAAGCCCAGCUUGCUGGGUGGAUUAGUGGCGAACGGGUGAGUAACACGUGAGUAACCUGCCCUUGACUCUGGGAUAAGCCUGGGAAACUGGGUCUAAUACUGGAUAUGACUUCUCAUCGCAUGGUGGGGGGUGGAAAGAUUUAUUGGUCUUGGAUGGACUCGCGGCCUAUCAGCUUGUUGGUGAGGUAAUGGCUCACCAAGGCGACGACGGGUAGCCGGCCUGAGAGGGUGACCGGCCACACUGGGACUGAGACACGGCCCAGACUCCUACGGGAGGCAGCAGUGGGGAAUAUUGCACAAUGGGCGCAAGCCUGAUGCAGCGACGCCGCGUGAGGGAUGACGGCCUUCGGGUUGUAAACCUCUUUCAGUAGGGAAGAAGCGAGAGUGACGGUACCUGCAGAAGAAGCGCCGGCUAACUACGUG